AACCAGCACCUCAAGUGGUCAGGAUGAUUAUUGGGCCUAAAGCAUCCGUAGCCGGCUCUGUAAGUUUUCGGUUAAAUCUGUACGCUCAACGUACAGGCUGCCGGGAAUACUGCAGAGCUAGGGAGUGGGAGAGGUAGACGGUACUCGGUAGGAAGGGGUGAAAUGUUGUAAUCCUACAGGGACCACCAGUGGCGAAGGCGUCUGAUCAUAACGGCUUUGACGGUGAGGAACGAAACCCUGGGGCGCAAACGGG
This 253-nucleotide ribosomal RNA is filed under the name uncultured archaeon. RNAcentral's name for it is "partial 16S ribosomal RNA". It matches the Rfam family "Archaeal small subunit ribosomal RNA", at positions 474 to 727 of the family's 1478-position model. The record is from RNAcentral.